RNAcentral lists this ribosomal RNA (255 nucleotides) under uncultured bacterium. RNAcentral describes it as "partial 16S ribosomal RNA". It matches the Rfam family "Bacterial small subunit ribosomal RNA", at positions 57 to 305 of the family's 1533-position model. The record is from RNAcentral.
GCAAGUCGAACGGCAGCAUAAGAGAGCUUGCUCUCUUGAUGGCGAGUGGCGGACGGGUGAGUAAUACGUAGGAAUCUAUCCAUGUAGCUGGGGAUAACUUGGGGAAACCCAAGCUAAUACCGAAUACGCUCUACGGAGGAAAGAGGGGGACCUUUCGGGGCCUCUCACUAUUGGGUGAGCCUACGCCGGAUUAGCUAGUUGGUGGGGUAAUGGCCUACCAAGGCGACGAUCCGUAGCUGGUCUGAGAGGACGAUC